UACGGGGGGGGCAAGCGUUGUUCGGAAUUACUGGGCGUAAAGGGCUUGUAGGCGGCCAACUAAGUCAGACGUGAAAUCCCUCGGCUUAACCGGGGAACUGCGUCUGAUACUGGAUGGCUUGAGAUUGGGAGAGGGAUGCGGAAUUCCAGGUGUAGCGGUGAAAUGCGUAGAUAUCUGGAGGAACACCGGUGGCGAAGGCGGCAUCCUGGACCAACACUGACGCUGAGUGAGCGAAAGCCAGGGGAGCAAACGGG
RNAcentral lists this ribosomal RNA (254 nucleotides) under uncultured bacterium. RNAcentral describes it as "partial 16S ribosomal RNA". It matches the Rfam family "Bacterial small subunit ribosomal RNA", at positions 524 to 776 of the family's 1533-position model. The record is from RNAcentral.